GUGUUCAGUUCAGCAGCACAGAUACUAAAAUUGGAACGAUACAGAGAAGGUUAGCAUGCCCCUGUACAAGGAUGACACACAAAUUCAUAAAGCCUUCCAUAGUGAA
RNAcentral lists this small nuclear RNA (106 nucleotides) under Suricata suricatta (meerkat). Lineage: Eukaryota; Metazoa; Chordata; Mammalia; Carnivora; Herpestidae. The record is from RNAcentral.